Molecule: ribosomal RNA, 460 nt
Filed under: uncultured bacterium
Lineage: Bacteria
Description: partial 16S ribosomal RNA
Rfam family: Bacterial small subunit ribosomal RNA
Source: RNAcentral
CCUACGGGAGGCAGCAGUGAGGAAUAUUGGUCAAUGGGCGCGAGCCUGAACCAGCCAAGUAGCGUGAAGGAUGACUGCCCUACGGGUUGUAAACUUCUUUUGUAAAGGAAUAAAGUGAGGCACGCGUCCCUUUUUGUAUGUACUUUAUGAAUAAGGAUCGGUUAACUCCGUGCCAGCAGCCGCGGUAAUACGGAGGAUCCGAGCGUUAUCCGGAUUUAUGGGGUUUAAAGGGAGCGUAGAUGGGUUGUUAAGUCAGUUGUGAAAGUUUGAGGCUCAACCGUAAAAGUGCAAUUGAUACUGGCAGCCUUGAGUACAGGUGAGGUAGGCGGAAUGCGUGGUGUAGCGGUGAAAUGCUUAGAUAUCACGAAGAACUCCGAUUGCGAAGGCAGCCUACUAAACUGCCACUGACAUUGAUGCUCGAAAGUGUGGGUAUCAAACAGGAUUAGAUACCCUAGUAGUC